RNAcentral lists this ribosomal RNA (445 nucleotides) under uncultured bacterium. RNAcentral's name for it is "partial 16S ribosomal RNA". It matches the Rfam family "Bacterial small subunit ribosomal RNA", at positions 354 to 796 of the family's 1533-position model. The record is from RNAcentral.
GUGAGGAAUAUUGGACAAUGGGCGCAAGCCUGAUCCAGCCAUGCCGCGUGCAGGAAGACGCAUCUAUGGUGUGUAAACUGCUUUUGUACGGGAAGAAACACUCCCUCGUGAGGGAGCUUGACGGUACCGUAAGAAUAAGGAUCGGCUAACUCCGUGCCAGCAGCCGCGGUAAUACGGAGGAUCCAAGCGUUAUCCGGAAUCAUUGGGUUUAAAGGGUCCGUAGGCGGGUUAAUAAGUCAGUGGUGAAAGCCCAUCGCUCAACGAUGGAACGGCCAUUGAUACUGGUAGACUUGAAUUACAAGGAAGUAACUAGAAUAUGUAGUGUAGCGGUGAAAUGCUUAGAUAUUACAUGGAAUACCAAUUGCGAAGGCAGGUUACUACUUGUGGAUUGACGCUGAUGGACGAAAGCGUGGGGAGCGAACAGGAUUAGAUACCCUAGUAGUCC